Long non-coding RNA from Ctenopharyngodon idella (grass carp), 1736 nucleotides. RefSeq lists it as uncharacterized. The transcript has 3 exons. The record is from RefSeq and is a predicted model, not a curated record. Lineage: Eukaryota; Metazoa; Chordata; Actinopteri; Cypriniformes; Xenocyprididae.
UUGACAUGGAGCCGCUCGAAUCUCCAGGGAAUCACCCGUUUUAAACAAACACCGAACAGAGCAGAGUCUGCUGACAAAAAGAGAACGUGACAGAGCUUGUAAUAAAACCAGAGUCAACACUGGCUUGGCUUUUCGGAGAUGGCGAGAACUGAGGGAUUUGAAAUGCUGUAAAAGGGACACGGACAUGGCGGUUUCAACAGCUGAACAAUGGCUGCGGCCUGGGAUGCGCAUACCUGCUGUCUCGCUGAUGGGAGUAUACACGACCUCCGAAUGUGACACCAGAGCCUGCUGGAAAAGGGAAAUUUAAAUCUGCAAUUACACCAGUGAAAUCCAGUGAAAUAUGCCAUGAGAGUCAAAUGAAUUGUGCAGACCUGUUAAAAGGACCACAUCACACUUGAGAAUUCGUACCACGGGGUUUCUCACUUGUUGACAGUAGUUACCUGUGCCCUGGCAGACCCUUGGCCCUGGGAUAAAAUGGCUUCUAUCAUGGGCCAGACACAUAAAUAUUUCCCUUUCUAUUUUCCAAAAUAGCUUUUAAUUUAACAAGUUUUAUGGCUCUAAUAUUAAGUGCAUGUGUUUUACAAGACACUGUGUCCUCUGAGUCACCCCUUGGUUUUCGGCUGGUUUUUUACCUUAUGGAGAAGAGGAAAAAAGGGGGGGGAUGUUUGACUAGGCCUCUACCAGACACUCCCCCAUGCUCCCCUUGGCCUGGGCCUCUCCUUCUGAGGGACGGCCAUGUAGAGAGUCUGGGAUUAAGGGACGGGCAACUCCCUCUGUCCGCACUAGUGUGUUCUGGCCCGCUGACCUCUCCCUUGGGGUUCCGAAAGUCCAAAAAACCUCUCAAUCAUUAAAGUUCCCGCGCGAUGGGGAUUCCAUGUGUACAGAGCUCUAGGAAAAGAAUGGGGUCUAGAAGUUACAAUAAAUAUAGAUAUCUCUUGAUUUUAACUAUGGUUAGCAUUACGUUUAUAACAUAGCACCUGGUUAUGGAUUUAUCACUGGGGCACUCUGUGUGCGUGCGUGCGUGCGUGUGUGUGUGUGUGUGUGUGUGUGUGUGUGGAUAGAGGACCUGAGUACUCGCUGUCUGUCCCCUCUAGGGACAAAUUGAUGUCAGGUUGUUCUCUCUGUCAGGAUUAAGUGUCUGUUUGCUUUUUGCUCACAUGCAGUUUGAUGAAUAAAAAAGCUCUUCUGAGCAAAUCAAAAACUUGAUCCCUGUUUAGAAAGCGGGAUGGAAACAACUACUUCACCCAGUAAUGAAAACCUGUCAUCAUUUACUCAUCCUCAUAUUGUUCCAAUACGUUCCAGUACGACCGAUUUUCUUCCAGGGAACACAAAAGCAGAAACUUUGAAGAAUUUUGCUGUCGCUCUUUUCCAAGUAAUUACAAUGAAUAGUCACUAGAGCUUUCAAACUUCAAAAAGGAAGAAAAAACACAGUAAAAGUGAUUUCAUCACUGAGCAGCACACUGUGGAAGGUUUUUAAGGAAUAAUUACAUACAAUUUGGUCCAAUGACCAAAUAUCAAAUGACUUCAGAAGACUUGGAAUAUAAUGUACUUAUCAUAUAGACCAUGUUUACACUUAUUACAGCGUUUUUGUGUCCUUUUUAAAGCUUGAAAGACAUGAAGGUGAGUAAAUGAUACAUUUCAAAAAUGAUAUCCUCUAAUGUCCUCAAACUGCAUGUUUUGUCACUGUGAACUGGUAAAUAUGAAAUAUUAAAAUAUUUUAUUUAAAAUGUAUUUCU